CCGAGUUUACAACUCCCAAACCCCUGUGAACAUACCUGUUUUGUUGCUUCGGCGGUGCCCUCGCUCUCGUGGCGAGGCCCGCCAGAGGACCCAAACAAACUCUUUGACUUUUGAUCUAGGAUUAUACUUCUGAGUGAUAUACAAAAUAAAUCA
Molecule: unclassified non-coding RNA, 153 nt
Filed under: soil metagenome
Description: partial internal transcribed spacer 1
Source: RNAcentral